GAUGAACGCUGGCGGCGUGCCUAAUACAUGCAAGUCGAGCGAACAGACGAGGAGCUUGCUCCUCUGACGUUAGCGGCGGACGGGUGAGUAACACGUGGAUAACCUACCUAUAAGACUGGGAUAACUUCGGGAAACCGGAGCUAAUACCGGAUAAUAUAUUGAACCGCAUGGUUCAAUAGUGAAAGACGGUUUUGCUGUCACUUAUAGAUGGAUCCGCGCCGCAUUAGCUAGUUGGUAAGGUAACGGCUUACCAAGGCAACGAUGCGUAGCCGACCUGAGAGGGUGAUCGGCCACACUGGAACUGAGACACGGUCCAGACUCCUACGGGAGGCAGCAGUAGGGAAUCUUCCGCAAUGGGCGAAAGCCUGACGGAGCAACGCCGCGUGAGUGAUGAAGGUUUUCGGAUCGUAAAACUCUGUUAUUAGGGAAGAACAAAUGUGUAAGUAACUAUGCACGUCUUGACGGUACCUAAUCAGAAAGCCACGGCUAACUACGU
RNAcentral lists this ribosomal RNA (496 nucleotides) under uncultured bacterium. Its description in RNAcentral is "partial 16S ribosomal RNA". It matches the Rfam family "Bacterial small subunit ribosomal RNA", at positions 28 to 506 of the family's 1533-position model. The record is from RNAcentral.